GACGAACGCUGGCGGCGUGCUUAACACAUGCAAGUCGAACGGAGAUUCAGCAAUGGAUCUUAGUGGCGAACGGGUGAGUAACGCGUAGGCAAUCUGCCUUCUAGAUGGGGACAACAUCCCGAAAGGGGUGCUAAUACCGAAUGUUGUACCGUUUCCGCAUGGAGAUGAUACUAAAGGUGGCCUCUGAAUAUGCUACCGCUAGAAGAUGAGCCUGCGUCUGAUUAGCUAGUUGGAGGGGUAACGGCCCACCAAGGCUUCGAUCAGUAGCCGGUCUGAGAGGAUGAACGGCCACACAGGGACUGAGACACGGCCCAGACUCCUACGGGAGGCAGCAGUGGGGAAUCUUCCGCAAUGGACGAAAGUCUGACGGAGCAACGCCGCGUGAGUGAAGAAGGUUUUCGGAUCGUAAAGCUCUUUCGUUAGGGACGAACGUGCUCUUUGUGAAUAAUGAGGAGUAAUGACGGUACCUAAAUAAGAAGCCACGGCUAACUACGUGCCAGCAGCCGCGGUAA
This 512-nucleotide ribosomal RNA is filed under the name uncultured bacterium. RNAcentral describes it as "partial 16S ribosomal RNA". It matches the Rfam family "Bacterial small subunit ribosomal RNA", at positions 28 to 523 of the family's 1533-position model. The record is from RNAcentral.